Molecule: non-coding RNA, 27 nt
Filed under: Mus musculus (house mouse)
Lineage: Eukaryota; Metazoa; Chordata; Mammalia; Rodentia; Muridae
Source: RNAcentral
UAGUAGAAAGUAGUGGAUUGUGGUUUA